This 699-nucleotide ribosomal RNA is filed under the name uncultured bacterium. Its description in RNAcentral is "bacterial SSU rRNA". It matches the Rfam family "Bacterial small subunit ribosomal RNA", at positions 135 to 854 of the family's 1533-position model. The record is from RNAcentral.
ACACACGGAUAACAUACCGAAAGGUAUGCUAAUACGGGAUAAUAUAUUUGAGAGGCAUCUCUUAAAUAUCAAAGGUGAGCCAGUACAGGAUGGACCCGCGUCUGAUUAGCUAGUUGGUAAGGUAACGGCUUACCAAGGCAACGAUCAGUAGCCGACCUGAGAGGGUGAUCGGCCACAUUGGAACUGAGACACGGUCCAAACUCCUACGGGAGGCAGCAGUGGGGAAUAUUGCACAAUGGGCGAAAGCCUGAUGCAGCAACGCCGCGUGAGUGAUGAAGGCCUUCGGAUCGUAAAACUCUGUCCUCAAGGAAGAUAAUGACGGUACUUGAGGAGGAAGCCCCGGCUAACUACGUGCCAGCAGCCGCGGUAAUACGUAGGGGGCUAGCGUUAUCCGGAUUUACUGGGCGUAAAGGGUGCGUAGGCGGUCUUUCAAGUCAGGAGUGAAAGGCUACGGCUCAACCGUAGUAAGCUCUUGAAACUGGGAGACUUGAGUGCAGGAGAGGAGAGUGGAAUUCCUAGUGUAGCGGUGAAAUGCGUAGAUAUUAGGAGGAACACCAGUUGCGAAGGCGGCUCUCUGGACUGUAACUGACGCUGAGGCACGAAAGCGUGGGGAGCAAACAGGAUUAGAUACCCUGGUAGUCCACGCUGUAAACGAUGAGUACUAGGUGUCGGGGGUUACCCCCUUCGGUGCCGCAGCUA